GACGAACGCUGGCGGCGUGCUUAACACAUGCAAGUCGAACGGUAAGGCCCUUCGGGGUACACGAGUGGCGAACGGGUGAGUAACACGUGGGUGAUCUGCCCUGCACUUCGGGAUAAGCCUGGGAAACUAGGUCUAAUACCGGAUAGGACCACUGCCUGCAUGGGUGGUGGUGGAAAGCUUUUGCGGUGUGGGAUGGGCCCGCGGCCUAUCAGCUUGUUGGUGGGGUGAUGGCCUACCAAGGCGACGACGGGUAGCCGGCCUGAGAGGGUGACCGGCCACACUGGGACUGAGAUGCGGCCCAGACUCCUACGGGAGGCAGCAGUGGGGAAUAUUGCACAAUGGGCGCAAGCCUGAUGCAGCGACGCCGCGUGAGGGAUGACGGCCUUCGGGUUGUAAACCUCUUUCAGCACCGACGAAGCGCAAGUGACGGUAGGUGCAGAAGAAGGACCGGCCAACUACGUGCCAGCCGCCGCGGUAA
Molecule: ribosomal RNA, 478 nt
Filed under: uncultured bacterium
Lineage: Bacteria
Description: partial 16S ribosomal RNA
Rfam family: Bacterial small subunit ribosomal RNA
Source: RNAcentral